AUGAUUUUGGUUUCAGUAUUUGGUAACACCGGCCUUUUGGGGCCACACCCUUUGGGAGAAGACACAGGAGCCCUGGGUAGUAGAUGGAAAGGUGGAAGUUUGCUUCUAAGGAAAAAUACUGGAAGGAAUAAAAUGCAGCCAAGAGGGGUCGUCGCUUUAACACACACCUGCUCUUUCCUCCCCAUCAGCAGGUGCCCAACAAGAUUGUUGACGAUGUCUGUGUCUACACCAGCAUGUCUCGAUCACCAGUCCUGGCCAUAG
This 261-nucleotide long non-coding RNA is filed under the name Felis catus (domestic cat). RNAcentral describes it as "lncRNA (ENSFCAG00000049255.1)". The record is from RNAcentral. Lineage: Eukaryota; Metazoa; Chordata; Mammalia; Carnivora; Felidae.